GAAGGUUUCAGUAGGUGAACCUGUGGAAGGAUCAAGGACUCAUAUCCACGAUCAUCUACAGUGUGCACAUUUAUCGAACCCUCUGCAUUUGGUAGACUUGGAUCCCUUUAACCGGGGGGAAAACCUGCCAAAUGUUUUUUCAACCAUAGCCUGAUUGCCUGAUUGCUUGACUGAAUUAUAUAUUUGAAAUAAAUCAAAUACAACUUUCAACAACGGAUCUCUUGGCUCUC
RNAcentral lists this unclassified non-coding RNA (230 nucleotides) under fungal sp. RNAcentral describes it as "partial internal transcribed spacer region". Lineage: Eukaryota; Fungi. The record is from RNAcentral.